RNAcentral lists this unclassified non-coding RNA (201 nucleotides) under Hevea brasiliensis (rubber tree). Lineage: Eukaryota; Viridiplantae; Streptophyta; Magnoliopsida; Malpighiales; Euphorbiaceae. The record is from RNAcentral.
AUUUGAUAUCAGAACCUUGAAAAAUGUCAUUCUUCCACUGUUUUCUUCAAAAUUUGCCUUAAAUUUACUGUUUGAAAAAAGAAACCUACUACCUAUUGCAAAUAAAGUCAUCAAGAUACAAAAUAGAGGAGAACAACACCGUUGCUUCACCUUAACCCCACCACUAGUCUCCCUAAACCCACCACUAGUCUCCCUUCACCA